CGUAAACUUUUGGGCCAAAGUGCAAAUACACAAAAGUAUCAAAACUUUAUGUAAUUGCAUAAAAGACCCAAAAGAACCCUAAUAAUAGGGUGGCCGGUUUUGGAGUGUUAGUCCACAAAAAUUUUGAAAAUUUUUUCAACAAAUUCAUAAAGCCUUGCAAGUGGUUUUUGGUUGGUGUAAAUCAUAAAACCAUGCAUGUGGUGUGUAAGGUGUGUAAGGUGUGUAAGUCUUACACACCCAUCACAAUUUCUAUCACCUUUCAUAAAAUAUAAAUGUUUUGAUGAUAGAUAUUUCACACCAAUCAACACAAAACAAAGACUUUAUGAAAUUAAUCAAAACUUUGAAUCAAAACACAAACCUUUUUGUUCUUGGCAAAAAUGUCAAGAACAAUGAAGAACAUUCAUGAAAAACCCAAAAUUUUUCCAUGAACUUUUUCCACCCAAAAACAUUCCAAAACCAUUCAAACUUUAGGGAAAUAACAUCUAAACAAACUAGGGUACAUAGGGGUUCCAAAAGUCACUUGAAAACACUUUUAACAAGUCAAACAAGAACCCAAAAAUCCACCCUUUGGAUUUGGCCGAAUUUUCCCAAAGUCAUGGCACCAAAUUUUAGCUCCAAUAUUCAUGCUCAUAUGAACUACAUCUACAACAUUUGA
Molecule: long non-coding RNA, 655 nt
Filed under: Malus domestica (apple)
Lineage: Eukaryota; Viridiplantae; Streptophyta; Magnoliopsida; Rosales; Rosaceae
Description: long non-coding RNA (MDOM_LNC013491)
Source: RNAcentral